This 1077-nucleotide ribosomal RNA is filed under the name Triticum aestivum (bread wheat). Its description in RNAcentral is "partial small subunit ribosomal RNA". Lineage: Eukaryota; Viridiplantae; Streptophyta; Magnoliopsida; Poales; Poaceae. The record is from RNAcentral.
AUGACGGCCGAUGCGGACUCCUCCUUGGGUGAGUGCUUCCCCCUACAGCAUCUUUCCGGUGGUGACACCCUCAUCCACCACCACGGGGCGACAAGAGCUCAGCCCCUUCCUGAGGGUCCCGUCCUCAACAUGCUCCAAAGCUCCAUGGGUACUGUUCUUCCUGUCACUGGUCUGUAUCUGUUACCGCACUCAUCGAUCUGUGGGUGCUCCUUAUUUUGGUUGAUCCCCUCGUCGGUUGGUCGUUGGAUCCGUGGCGGCCUUCAAGUCUUCAUCCACGUCCAAGGACCUGCAGAUGAGUCUCGUGAAGACGGUGAGCGGAAAGGAGACAAGGAUGGCGACUUGAUGCUCCUUGGAGACGUCCUCUGGAGGGAUUUCUUGGUUACUGUGGAGGCUGUUGGAUUGGGUGUUAUGACAUCUUCAGAAAUGAUCAAUUUUGGAUAUAUUGAAUUGGAUUUUCUCUCUGUUGGGCCCAUUGGUGGAGUCCCCCCUGGGGCCUUUGAAAUCCCAGAGCGGGCCCUGGGUUUAGUUUAUGACAAAGUGGAGAUGGAGGACUCCCGACGACAAAUGGAUGACACCGAGGAGGUGCAUUCUUACCAAGUAUUUUUUUUCCUUGUCCGGUGGACCAGCUCUUGGUUCCAGCUCUUGGUUCAGAGUUGGACGAGUCCGCUUGCCGGAGCCCCGCCGCCUGCCCGUUUCGAGCCGCCCACCUCGCUCAGCAAUUGCGACCCUGACCCCGGCCUGUUCGUGAGCUCGUGGGACUGCCUCACGCGGUCAGUCCACGGGGAUCGGGCGACGGCGUCUGGUUCUGAACGGCGAUGGAUGCCCGCGUGCCACUUGGAGAAGAGCACAAGAUGUUCAGGUAGGCUUAUCUCUCUGGGUGGACUGGUCUCCGCCGGCCGCAGGGCGCAGGCCAGGACAGUUAGAAGGAACCGGGAAACCUGCCAGCUGCUGGCGCGGCGUGUGAAGAUGAUUGGAGACCUUCUCCAGCAGCUCGAGAGCACGCAGCUGAUGCAACAUACGGAGACCGGGUCGGGUUUGCAGGCGCUGUUCGGCCACAGCCGAUUUCGGCCUUUAUAA